GACGAACGCUGGCGGCGUGCUUAACACAUGCCAGUCGAACGGAAAGGCCCUGCUUGCAGGGUACUCGAGUGGCGAACGGGUGAGUAACACGUGGGUGAUCUGCCCUGCACUUCGGGAUAAGCCUGGGAAACUGGGUCUAAUACCGGAUAGGAGCCAUUUUUAGUGUGAUGGUUGGAAAGUUUUUUCGGUGUAGGAUGAGCUCGCGGCCUAUCAGCUUGUUGGUGGGGUAAUGGCCUACCAAGGCGGCGACGGGUAGCCGGCCUGAGAGGGUGGACGGCCACAUUGAGACUGAGAUACGGCCCAGACGCCUACGAGAGGCAGCAGUGGGGAAUAUUGCACAAUGGGCGCAAGCCUGAUGCAGCGACGCCGCGUGGGGGAUGACGGCCUUCGGGUUGUAAACUCCUUUCGCUAGGGACGAAGCUUUUUGUGACGGUACCUAGAUAAGAAGCACCGGCUAACUACGUG
This 465-nucleotide ribosomal RNA is filed under the name uncultured bacterium. RNAcentral's name for it is "partial 16S ribosomal RNA". It matches the Rfam family "Bacterial small subunit ribosomal RNA", at positions 28 to 507 of the family's 1533-position model. The record is from RNAcentral.